This is an RNA transcript of Anopheles gambiae (African malaria mosquito), 3519 nucleotides long. It is a transcript of the gene named E3 ubiquitin ligase RNF157, with no coding region annotated. The record is from RefSeq and is a predicted model, not a curated record. Lineage: Eukaryota; Metazoa; Arthropoda; Insecta; Diptera; Culicidae. The transcript has 6 exons.
AAUCUGGCCACACUGACACCAACCCCUCUCUAGUUGAUAUUUAUUGGAUCAGCCAGGAGAAAGAAAAUUCACAAACUGUUCCUUGUUUUCUGCUCGGAUUUGCCGUAACAAACAAUAACCCACCAGCCAACGUACACCAACUAGCUUGCGUGCGUUUAGCUGCGAAUUGCUUGCCAGUGCACGUAUUUCGUCUACCAUCGCGGGGAAGUGUGUUAAAAUCGCAAGCAUGAAUACCUUCUAAACAACAACAACACAGACCAAACCUGCUUUGCUGGAGAGGGGGGGUUUUGCUCGAAGGCUCGGAGGCAAGUUCGGACGUGGUAAAGUGACUACUGUGCAGGGUACCAUCGGCCACGCAAAAUGGGUCUGUUUGCAAGCAGACAGAAUGCCACCGUCGAGGAAACGGACGUGAGCCUGAACCAUCUGUACAAGUAUCCACCCCGGUCGGGCAACUACUUCGGAACGCAUUUCAUCAUGGGCGGUGAAAGGUUCGAUACUCCCCAGCCGGAAGCGUACUUAUUUGGCGAGAAUGCUGAUUUGAACUUUUUAGGUUCCAAGCCAACCCCCUUCCCUUACCCACCGCCACAAGCGACGGAACCGACGAAAACGCUGAAAAGUCUUGUCAACAUUCGCAAAGAGUCGGUGCGCUUUGUGAAGGUGCUGGACGCGGGUGGUAACGGUGUCGUCAAGCCGGCUGGGGGCGAUCAAGUCGCAAAGCCCAACCCCGCGACGACGACGACGACGACGACAACCAACGGUACCAUCAGCAAUGGCUACAACAUCGAGUUCAUCUUCGACGCCGAUUCGCCCUGCCACAUCACUAUCUACUACUUCUGCAUUGAGGACAUCGGGCCGGGCGGAUCGAAUUACAUUUCGCGCGAUUCCUCCAUGACGUCGGAAACGUUCCACUUCCAGCGGGGUGUCAAUCAGCUGUUCUCGGCCCCGCACCACAUCAUCUACCCGGCACUGUACGCGGAGGAAAACCUGUCCUACAGCCCGGACAAGGAUACGUUCCCCGUCGUCAUCCACUGUGUCGUCGGUGAGGCGGCCACCGGUGGUGGCAACAGUGCGGUCGCUAACAGCAACACCACCACCGUUACCACCAUUACCAACAACAACAGUGCGCUCACUGCCGGCGUAGCGAGCGACGGUGGCGGCGAUAGUGGUGGGGCCGGCCCGGGCAGCCGCCAGUCGCAUGCCACGAUCUGCGUAAUCGAUCACCAUUCCGACGGGACGUACGCGCUGCGUGCGCUGAAGCAGAAGAUCUUCGUCGACGGGCUGUACUAUCUGCUGCAGGAGAUCUACGGCAUCGAGAACAAGCUGGCGAACAAAACGGUCACGGACGAGGAGACGGAGGACAACGGGAGCGAGUGCGUCAUCUGCAUGUGCGACACACGCGACACACUGAUACUGCCCUGCCGGCAUCUGUGCCUGUGCAACUCGUGCGCGGACUCGCUGCGCUAUCAGGCGAACAACUGUCCGAUCUGCCGGGCACCGUUCCGUGCGCUGCUGCAGAUCCGGGCCGUGCAGAAGGAGGGUGCCGGUGGCGGGGGUGGCUUACCGUGUGGUGGCAGUACACCGGCGGCACAGAAUUCGGCCGACAGCGCUGAUAACAUUCCGGCCGGUUACAAGACCAUAUCACUGAUCGAAGCACUGAACGGGCCGACGCUUUCAAUGAAAGCGAUCAACGGCAGCACCGACUCAACCGCUGGCACCGAAAAUGGUAGCGAGAAUAAUCGGAGCACCGAGAAUGGUUUCGGAUUCCGCAACAAAAUGACCAAGUCAUCCACCGAUCACAGCAGCAACGGUGAGCUCGCCAACGGAAGCAUCGUUUCGGAAAAGUCGUCCUCCGACAUCCGGAUGCAUUUACUAGCUUCCGAUGAAACGAACGCCAUCGCCGAGGCCGGUUCCGGCGGCACGAACGUCGGCGGCAUAGCGAAUCCCACCACCGUCUGCACCAAGAAGGAGCUGCUCUCGAAACAUUCGCCCUUGAUGCAGCGAGCACCGGUCAGCAAGGACAAGAACCCGCGCGAAAAGGGCAGUCUGCACCGAAUCGGAAACAGCGGCACGAACGGGUCGAACGGUGGAGCUUUGGUUUCAUCCAAAUCGAAAUCACCCUCCGACCGCACGAUCGGGUUCCAUCUGGUGCACGAGAAACCGGCAGCGCCCGGGGCAGCGCUGGUGGGCAAAAUGCCCGACUCGAAGCUCACCGAUCUGACGGAAAACGACGACGACAGUGAGGCGGAAAAGCUUUCCCCACUGCUGCGCAAAUCGGACAGCUACGAUGCGGGCAGUAAGCUCGGAGACAUGGCGAUGAAGAAGCUGCUGAUCGGUGGCUCGGGAACCAUCGGUGAGCCGGUGAAGGAAAAAACAUCGCCCUCCGCUGUGAUAAAGGAGCUGCUGAAGGGUGCCAUCAUCGGGAGCGAUGAUAUCGGCGUGGAGGGCGGAGCCGUUGAGAUGGGACUGGUCGGAGGGAACAGGGGCGCCGGUGGUGCAAUUAUAUCGAUCGUGACUGACGAUUCGGAGGACUUCUACACGCCCGAAGAUCCGCCGGCAACCAGCCCACUGAAAUCGAUCGACGAUGACGACGACGAGCUGCCCAAGCUGGCCGAGAUAGAUACGGGCCGGAAAAUGCUUGUAGCUGCUGCCGCUACCACCGCCCCCGGAGCUAACCUGGGCUCGGCGCCGCCGGCGGCACUCUCCGUACUGAAGGAAGAGUUCUCGCAGGGAUCACUGCCGGACAGCCCGAUCAGUGGCAAUUCGCAAACGUCGACGCGCAGCUCGAGCGACAGCUACUCGUCCAGCUCCAGCACCCGGCAGCUGCUGUCGUCCGGUGCAGUGCCCAACGACACACCGACGCACGUGCUGAGCUCGUGCGAUUCGACGGCGAACGGCCACAGCAGCGUAUCGAAAGCGGCCGAGUGCGGCAUCGAGAGUGAUUAAGCUGCGGCUGCCGAUGGUCGGAUUGAGCGAUGCAGUGGUGCUACAGGAUUAGGAAAACGUUUCUUCGUAUAUUGGAACAUUAUGUAGGCGUUCCAAAUAAACGGACAUACCAGUAAGUGCAAUCCCCCGGAAGGAAGGUGUCACCAAAAUGUACACCCAACACCCACAACCAGGAUGUCAUCGUCUUUGUCUUCUACGCCUUCUUCUUCUUAUUCUUCUUCUUCUUAUUCGCCAUAUGAUCGUACAUCAUAAAACAUUUGUAUUGUCUGUUUCGCAAUAGCCUUCUUCCCUCGUUCGUUCUCCUCCAUCAUCAUCAUCAUCAUCAUUAUCAUCAACCAUCUCUAAUCUUUCCUCCUCCCUCUCUUCAACUUAAAGUCAUUAUAUUGGCUGUCGUGCAUUCACUGCCGAUGGCCAGGAUCUGUGUUAGGUUAAUUUUUUUCCAUUUUUAUUUGACUGUUAAGUACUCUACCGGAACAAACACACGUAGCAUAGCAUUCAAUGGUAAAUGUAAGUGUGCGUAAUAUGAUAAUAAAAACGAUAUUUUCAUAUUUAAACCAAAAGCAGUAUGUAACAUUA